UCUUUGGUUUGCUUUGUUUUUCUGUAUAUUGAAUGUUUACUGUGUAAACAGUAGGGUAGGGAGCAGACUAACCUUAGAGGGGUUCCUUUUAUGGUUUUAUGUUUGUUUGGGGUUUGUUUGGGAUUGUAAUUCGUAAAAUUCAUUUAGAAUACAUUUUGCCAUAGCAGUAGUAUUAUAAAUUUUGGUUAGGUUUCCAGGCCAAUCUAUAUAACCUCUAGUGACAUUAAAAUAUUAUAUAUUUGCAACAAGGAGUAGUAGAAAACCACGCUGUUAGAAUAGUAGUAAUUGGGGAAAAUAGUAAUAUUAAAAAUAUUAUUGGUCUUCAUUAAGUACAGUUGGUUUAACAGUGUAAGGAAGGUGAUGGCCAUUGGGAGGAGAUUGGAGCUGCAGGCCUUAGAGAUUGGGUUAAUUUUGAAUCAAAAUGUCUUCUUGCUGCAUGUGAUUCACCAGCUGUGAUUACAGUAAUUUGCAAACUCAUAAAUGGGAGAGUAUGAUGCACGUCCACGAAGAUAACUUGACAAGAUUCGGAGGAGAGGAGGAUGCAUGUGAAAAGGUCGUCCGGGUGGAAUUAUCAGGCGUCUUGGACCCAGGUGGGCAUCGCGGACCCAGGACAGCCGGGUCGGCUGGGGGUGACGAAUCGGGUAGAAGGAAGAUAAUGCGCCUUCAGCCAUCGCGUGUGACAUCCUUGCCUGUAACUUGCUGCAAUCUAAAGUAUGGUAGCGGGUGAGCUCUUUUCUGCUCAUGCAACAUGGAAGGCAGUUUUAAAUGUUUUCACAUGAAAAAUAACUCUGCUUUCUUUAACUUAGAGAAAUACUCGUUCUACUAGUCACAAUCAGUAGCUACCUGGACUUAAAAAAAUCAUGUUCUCUGCCCUGUAAUUUAUUUUGACCUAACCAUGUUUUACCUGCCUGGCUAAUUUCCAAGGGCCCUGCCACUUCCAUCUUGUGUUUCCUUUCUCCUAAUUAGUCCUUAAGUGGCAUUCAGAUUCUGUUUUUAAGUGUAUUAUUGCUGUGUUUUCCAGUGAGGGUAAAAUUUAAAAACGCCUACCUGUAUCUAUUGAUUUAGGCUUACCUGUGCCUCUGUCCCAUUGAUAUCUUCUUGAAAAAUAAUACAGAAGGUGACUUUUAAUAAUAGGAGACCCAUAAGCUACCAGGAAGCUCAACAUUUAGAUGAGAAUUUGUAAUCAGACCAUAUCCAUAUUGUAAAAGGAAUAUCUCUAAUAUAUAUGUUACAUCGA
Molecule: long non-coding RNA, 1237 nt
Organism: Equus quagga
Lineage: Eukaryota; Metazoa; Chordata; Mammalia; Perissodactyla; Equidae
Exons: 2
Source: RefSeq, a predicted model, not a curated record